UGGUCACAUCACAGUGAAACACCAGUUCCUGUAUGAUCACUGAAGUUAAGCAAUGUUGAUCCUGGUCAAUACCUAGAUGGGUCACCACUUGAGAAUACCAGAUGCUGUAUG
Molecule: non-coding RNA, 111 nt
Organism: Acanthosepion pharaonis
Lineage: Eukaryota; Metazoa; Mollusca; Cephalopoda; Sepiida; Sepiidae
Source: the annotation of a GenBank genome assembly